AACACAUAGGUCAACCUGUUCUUGCGGUACGAAGUGAAGAUCCCCAUUCGGUAGGGGUGAAGGCAGGACAGAUGACCAAGAACACAAAUAAUUCAAAGACAGCUGCAUCACCAAAGCCCACAAAGCUGGGAACCUUGGAGCACUCUGCACAGCUUGCAGGUAUGGCAGUAUCAGGGCUUCCAGUGAGUAGUGAUUGAGCUGUUAUUCUUCCUCUAGCCACUUGCCACAUGUAAGUGUUUAAAUUAUAUUA
Long non-coding RNA from Mus musculus (house mouse), 250 nucleotides. RefSeq annotates it as RIKEN cDNA 1700037F03 gene. The transcript is spliced from 3 exons. The record is from RefSeq and is a predicted model, not a curated record. NCBI's taxonomy places the organism in Eukaryota, Metazoa, Chordata, Mammalia, Rodentia, Muridae.